This 350-nucleotide unclassified non-coding RNA is filed under the name Hevea brasiliensis (rubber tree). The record is from RNAcentral. Lineage: Eukaryota; Viridiplantae; Streptophyta; Magnoliopsida; Malpighiales; Euphorbiaceae.
UUGUACCGGGUGGCGGUGCUAUAGAUAUGGAGAUCAGCCGGUACCUGAGGCAGCAUGCACGUACAAUAGCCGGAAAGUCACAAUUGUUCAUAAAUUCGUAUGCUAAAGCCCUUGAGAUUAUUCCCCGACAACUCUGUGACAAUGCUGGAUUUGAUGCAACUGACGUAUUGAACAAACUUAGACAGAAACAUGCAUCUGGUGAAGGAGCCAAUUUUGGUGUCGACAUUAACACUGGCGGGAUUGCAGAUUCAUUUGCGAACUUUGUAUGGGAACCCUCAGUUGUGAAGGUUAAUGCUAUAAAUGCCGCGACUGAAGCUGCUUGUCUUAUUUUAAGUGUGGAUGAGACGGUG